CAGGAUCCUGGCAGGCAGAGAGAAGACCCAGAGAAAUGCUUCCCCACUUACAGUAAAGAGAAAGGACCAAGAGCUUGCCGUAGAAUAUCCCAGCUGUGUCCCCAACUCACGGAGGACCCAGAGGGCCAAGCACUUUGGUACCUCAUGAAACCCUUUUCUCUCCACCAGGCUAAUUUCGUAACAUUGCUUAUUUAAAUAGUUUUUCAGGGGCACCUGGGUGGCUCAGUCACUUGAACAUCUAACUUUUGAUUUUGACACAGACCCAGGGUCAUGCGAUGGAGCCCCCACGUCGUGCUCUGUGCUGAGUGUGGAGCCUGCUUAAGAUUCUCUCUCCCCCCACCUCUCUCUCUCCCUCUGUCCCUCUUCCCCGAUCAAUCAUGUUCUCUCUCUAAAAUAAAUAAAUAUUGGCGCACCUGGGUGGCUCAGUCAGUUAAGCACCUGACUCUUGGUUUCAGCUCAGGUCAUGAUCUCACAGUUCGUGAGUUCAAGCCCCAUGUGGGGCUCUGCACUGACAGUGCAGAGCCUGCUUGGGAUUCUCACUCUAUCUCUCUCUCUGCCCCUCCCCUGCUCAUGCUCUCUCUCUCUCUCAAAAUAAAUAAACCUUUAACAAAAUAUUUAAAAUAAAUAAAUAAUAAAAAUUAGUUUUUCAAAUUAUUUCUUAUACCAACUGUCAUCCUUGCCCCCUCCCAUCACUCCCCUGCUACAUUCACUAGUAGGUUCUUGCUGAAAUUUAACCUGUCACAUUAAAUUGAAGUUCAUUGAUGAACGUGGCUCCCUAGUUAACUAAUAAUUAACUAUAUUAUUCCAGGUAUUAUUUUCACACCAGUGACAUACUAUAUAUAGUACACCACCCUUGCUACUUUGUUUUUUGUUAAAGAGCAUUAACUAAUUAAGUCGUCUGGUGACGACGUGACUAUAAUUGAUGAAAAUCCCUAUCUAACUCAUCCAAAUUGAUGAAUUAAACCAAUUAGUAAAAUCUCCGAUUGGAUUCUCUAGUUGAUGAAAUUCACCUGCCAUUCUUCUAUUUCAGAAGUUCUCAAAUUUGAAAGCACAUGGGAAUCACCCAGAGUGUUUGUUCAAAUAGAUUCCUGGGCCCUACCCCCAGAGACAUUUACUCAGUGGUUUUAGAGUAGGGCCUGAGAAUUUGCCCCAGGUUCCCAGCUGAUGCCAAAACUUUGGGUCUGGAGUCCACACUGCAUGUAGUUAAUGGAUAUGGCUCAUAGUUAAAGUCUCUCAGUUAAUUAAAAUCAGUUUCAUUAAGAAACUUCCCUUAGAGUUAAUUAGGUCUCCCAAACUCCUAAUUACAUCUAGACCCUAGAUAAUAAGACUUGUUUAAUAGGCUUAUUAAACUCAUCAAAUUAAAAUUGACCCCUUCAGAAAAAAAAUUCACCUCUUCCUUCUUUAAGCCCUUUAUACUGGUUCUUUCAACUUUAUCUUACUAGGGUGGCAGCUGAGAAGAAAGGGCCUCUGGGAUGGAAGCUGGGGAGUGACGCUCCCAGCGGACAACACGGAGACGUGGAGGGAAUUGUGAACUGGGGGGUGUCCGCGUUGCAUCAGCUUUACGGAGGGCCCCACCUGCUCCCAGUUUCCUUUCCUGGCCACUCCCCUCAGGCCUCCAACUCUGUUUCACAAUACAUUCAUGGAUUGCAAUUCCCAGUCUUCCCUGCAGUGAUCUGGAGUUUUGUCUUGGGGAAACAGUAAUCGCAUGGUUAAGAAUGCUGGCUUGGAGUCAGGCUGGGUUCAAAUGCAAAAUCCCCAACAAACUAGUUAUAUGAUCUUGAACAAAUUAUUUAACCUCUCUGAACCACCUGCACAAGAACAUAGGCCACAUCAUCUGGGAAGGACUGACUCCAUCUUUCUCCAUCAGGAGACUGGCUUCCUCUUCAGGGCCUCUAACCUGAGGGUGUGGAAUUGAGGUGUCAUGGCUAGGCAAGGGCUGCCCCCUGGUGGUCAUGGAGCCUGGGGAGUCCUGAGACACCUAGAAGUGGUUUUUCUCAAAAGGGCCUGAAUUCCAGCUUCCGUCCAGUCCCUUACCUUGCCUCAUCCUAUCAACAGACCAUCUCCACCCCAAAGAGUCAAUGUGGAAGAAAUGGUUUCUUCUACUCAACUAUGAUAAGCAACUUGAGGAGGGAGCAGAGAUCACCACCAGUGGACUGGGGCUGUAGGGCUGGGAAGCGCCACUGGCCUGAAGAUAAAACUCCAUACUUGCUACAGUACACGCUCAAUCACAUGGCACUGCUCCAUGUCUCAGGACAAUGCGGCUUUGAAGUCAAGUCAGCCUAAGUUGGAGCCCUGGUUCCCCUGCUUACACAUCUGUGAAUGUGAAUAGCAUCUGUCAAUUUCCAGACUUCACUGUCCUGGAUGCUCAGUGUAUGUUAGUCCCUAGCCCCUCCCCAGUCUGGGGCUAGGAUGACCAUGGUUAAGCUCUGCCUGAACUCAAGGGUAUCUUGCUCUCUCUACCCCUUUUCUGUACCUAAGAUUUCCAAUAUCCAAAAAUGUUGUGGAUUCCAAA
This is a long non-coding RNA of Neofelis nebulosa (Clouded leopard), 2512 nucleotides long. RefSeq lists it as uncharacterized. The transcript has 2 exons. NCBI's taxonomy places the organism in Eukaryota, Metazoa, Chordata, Mammalia, Carnivora, Felidae. The record is from RefSeq and is a predicted model, not a curated record.